Molecule: small RNA, 28 nt
Filed under: Arabidopsis thaliana (thale cress)
Lineage: Eukaryota; Viridiplantae; Streptophyta; Magnoliopsida; Brassicales; Brassicaceae
Description: ATSL248030
Source: RNAcentral
UAAUGUCUUCUUCUUCUUCUUCUUCGUU